RNAcentral lists this long non-coding RNA (219 nucleotides) under Lathyrus oleraceus (garden pea). Its description in RNAcentral is "Pisum sativum (pea) long non-coding RNA (PSAT_LNC007504)". The record is from RNAcentral. Lineage: Eukaryota; Viridiplantae; Streptophyta; Magnoliopsida; Fabales; Fabaceae.
AAAAAAGAGUGAGUUAGGUCCUUGGGAAGUUGACCCAAAAUUAGGGUUUCAAUCAAAAUGACCUAUAAUGUUUUGAAAGGAAUGAUGACCUUACAAGUUUCAAAUGAAUUGUUGAUAUGGUUCUUAAGAACAUAUUUUCUCUUGGGGUCAUCUUCAUUUGACAAACACAUCAAAAGUUAGGUCUCAGUGGAUUUCAAUUUAGUCAGAUGACUUGACUGG